CGCACCUUGCACCCUCUGGUAUUCCGGAGGGUAUGCCUGUUUGAGUGUCAUGUCAAUCAUCAUCCCGCCGGGUCCUGCCCGGCGGGGUUGGAAUUGGGCGCUGCCGUGUCGGCUCGCCUCAAAUGCAUUGGCGGUCUACGACCCUUGCUACGGCGUAAUACGUUUCGCUGGCGCAUGGGGAGGAAGCCCCCUUGAAACCGCCCUCCGGGGAAUGUACGAUUGACCUCAGAUCAGGUAGGACUACCCGCUGAACUUCA
Molecule: unclassified non-coding RNA, 257 nt
Filed under: Carlosrosaea sp.
Lineage: Eukaryota; Fungi; Basidiomycota; Tremellomycetes; Tremellales; Trimorphomycetaceae
Description: partial contains 5.8S ribosomal RNA, internal transcribed spacer 2, and large subunit ribosomal RNA
Source: RNAcentral